This 364-nucleotide small RNA is filed under the name Pongo abelii (Sumatran orangutan). RNAcentral describes it as "processed transcript". The record is from RNAcentral. Lineage: Eukaryota; Metazoa; Chordata; Mammalia; Primates; Hominidae.
AGCUGGGUACAUUGCUCAGAAGAUAGGCCUGCCCGUCCGUCUGGUCGUGGCAGUGAACGGCAAUGACAUCAUCCACAGGACUGUCCAGCAGGGAGACUUCUCUCUCUCUGAGGCUGUUAAAUCAACCUUGGCAUCAGCUAUGGACAUUCAGGUGCCCUACAACAUGGAGAGGGUAUUCUGGCUGCUCUCUGGCUCUGACAGCCAGGUGACAAGAGCCCUCAUGGAGCAGUUUGAAAGGACCCAAAGUGUGAAUCUGCCCAAGGAACUGCACAGCAAGGAAUCUAAUUGGGAAGGAUUGUUUGUAUUUUAAUGCAACCUGUUGAUAGUACUUAUUCUGUGUUUAAAAAAAAAAAAAGGAUUUCUG